Molecule: ribosomal RNA, 253 nt
Filed under: uncultured bacterium
Lineage: Bacteria
Description: partial 16S ribosomal RNA
Rfam family: Bacterial small subunit ribosomal RNA
Source: RNAcentral
UACGAAGGGGGCUAGCGUUGUUCGGAAUUACUGGGCGUAAAGCGUGCGCAGGCGGCUUCUCAAGUCAGGGGUGAAAGCCCAGAGCUCAACUCUGGAAUUGCCUUUGAGACUGAGUGGCUUGGGUACGGGAGAGGUGAGUGGAAUUCCGAGUGUAGAGGUGAAAUUCGUAGAUAUUCGGAAGAACACCAGUGGCAAAGGCGGCUCACUGGCCCGUUACCGACGCUCAGGCGCGACAGCGUGGGGAGCAAACAGG